CUGUUUUGCAGAGAGAGAACAUGGUAUUAUCAAACGUGCCCGAAGAGUACCUGGACCUGAAGGAAGUGUUCAGUAAGUCCCGUGCUGCUUCUCUGCCUCCGCAUCGUCCCUACGACUGUGCCAUAGACUUAGUGCCAGAGAAGUCUCCGCCUAAAGUUUAGGUUACCAGCCACCAGUUUUUCCCAGUCUGGAAUCUGAAGUCGCGGUCCCCUCCGCUCACGCGUUUGUCCAGAGGUGCCACCGCACCUGGACCAGAGCCCGCGAGACUCUGCUCCGGAUGAGGGAGCGCACUAAGGCCAAGGCCGAUCGCCACCGGUCAAAGCCUCCCGUUUACAUCGUGGGUCAAAAAGUGUGGCUUUCUACCAAUAACA
Molecule: long non-coding RNA, 371 nt
Organism: Cyprinus carpio carpio
Lineage: Eukaryota; Metazoa; Chordata; Actinopteri; Cypriniformes; Cyprinidae
Source: Ensembl